Molecule: non-coding RNA, 1099 nt
Organism: Vicugna pacos (alpaca)
Lineage: Eukaryota; Metazoa; Chordata; Mammalia; Artiodactyla; Camelidae
Source: RefSeq, a predicted model, not a curated record
GGAAGGCAAGGGUUUUCAAAGUAAAUGCCCACAAUGUAAACUACUAAAACACAUUGAUAAAGGAGGUAUUUCACGUCAAGAAAUGUUUACAUGAUGCUUGGGUUUUACUUAGUCUUAGCAAUCCACAGCAAAUUUGAAAUAACAAUACAGCUAAAUAACCUCCAGAUAAAUGAAAAACUUCCUCAUGGAAAGUUAAUCUAUUCAAAGAAAAUUUAUCUUCCAAAAUAACCAAGUUCCAGGGUUUACUGAACCUGCCAGGCAGGAGCUUUUUUUUUCCCUUUUCUUUCUAGCAGUAAACAUAUGUUGUAUUUUCCUUUUAUCUAGUAGUUGAGAUUUUCAUGGGAAGACCCAAACUUUAGAAUAAUAGUUAUCUUUAUUUAAAUUUCCUGUGCCUGAUGCUUUAAAUAUGUUAUCUCAGUCACAGAAUUCACAGUAAUUCUAUUUUUAAAUGAAACCAUCAAUUAAAAAUGUAUUAAGACUAUAUAACCACACCAGUGUGCUCAACUUAAGAAAGAACUAUAUAGGUAUGACCACCCCCAGUGUACUUCUCCCUCCUGCCCCUUGAAAGGUAAAUCAGUUCUGAAUUUGGUAUCUUAUUAUUCCUGUGCAUUUUUUAUGCUUUUAUCAUGAUUCAUAAAUAUAUUUUUCUAUAUAUUUGCAUAUUACUAUUAUAUAUUUUCCAUAAGUGGAAUUUAGUAUUUUUAUAUGUUUCAAAAUUUUAUUUAAAGAUGGUGAUAUUGUGCUUGUCUUUCUUUAACUUGCUUUUUUUCUCUCAAUAUCAGUUUUUAAGUAUAUUCAUGUUGAUGCAGACAGCUCUAGUUUAUUCAUCAGUUUUCCAAGGAGGAAUAGCUGAACCGGCAAUAUUGUUUCCAGGAUCUACACAAUGUUAUUUCUAAAGAGACUUCUCUUGCAUUGAAAUCUCAUCUUGAAUCACCUCAGUAAAUCCAGAAGGUUGGAUCUCCUGGAAGCUUCCGUUUAGAUUAAAUGUUUAAAAUUUUCUCAAGAUUUAGGGCUUUGUAAAGAUGAGAUCUUCAUUCCAUGUAUCCAAAAAAAAAAAAUCUCAGUAAAAAGCAGGAAUAAAACCUGCCUUCCUUACCAA